UUCAGUUUGCCACCGUCACGUCACAUUUAAGCAGGAUAUCAACUAAGUUAUCACAUCUAGGGUUCUGAUUCUGAACUUUGCUCCCUAAAAUCUCUAGAACCAUCACUUCCGCUCCACCAUCACCAAUCGAAUCAUCCUCUACUCCACCUCAUUGUCGAUGAUCCAAAACCCUAAUCGCUCCCAAAAAUGGAAACCGUUGGACUUCAGCAAUGAGCAAAUGAUUUCUUAGGGUUCGGUUUGUUGGGAACUAUGACUAACGGUCUUGUUAUUCUUAAUCGAAGAUUACAGGUCAAGGAUGAAGUAGUAGGUUACAAGUAGUAGAAGCAAGGAUACAAGUUUGAUUUUCAAAGGAUUUCACCACCAACAGGAACAAAUGGGUCAAAACUGAUCUACUGCUGGGUUUCGGUUUGUUUUUUUUGGCAUGAAAUUUAGCUAUAUAUAUCGUAAGGCAACAUGGAUUUCGAUACCAGAAGUUGAGCACAGAGCAAAGCUAGAUUCAACACCAUUUGCAUCAUGAGUUAGACUAUCAGCUACUAUGGUUACUAUGAUUGAAAAGUUUGAACUUAGUUAUCAAGGAGCUCAUUAAAGAAAAGGAUGAAGAAAAAGAAAAAGAAAAAGAAAGGCUAAAUGGAAUUAUUGCAGGGUGGUUGGUUGGUUGGCUGAAAAAAAAAAAGAUAAGGUGGAUAAAGAUGCUAUACUCGAUACGAUGUCACAAAUUGAAGCUGUGUUAACAAGUACAGUUUGAAGAUAGGCUACAAACACUUGGUUUUGAAUGUUUCGAUGUUUAUCGUAUUAGGAUUUUUUAGUUAUUUCAUGUUUUAGCUUUAGCUGGUAUUUCUAUUAGAAUGUUUUGUAUGCUUUUGAUACAUAGAUGUUUUAUAUAAUUUUGGGUUUUCGUGAUCCUAUUAGACUCUUUAUAUAAUUUUGUAAUUUUAUUGAUAUGUAUUUUUUAUGAAAAAAGUAGGGAAAAUGAAAAAUCAAGCUGAAUAAAAAACCAAUAUUCAAGCAAUCACGAAAUGGUAGCAAAUAAUGGUAGCAAGUAAUUCAACAAGCUCGCUAAAUUUUCAAUGAAAAUGGUGGUUAAAUGGUGGCAAAUCGGUAGCAAACUAAAUGGUGGCAAAUCGGUAGCAAACUAAAUGGUGGCAAAUCGGUAGCAAAUAAGGUGGACCGUAGAAAACAAGAAGCGGUGGCAAAUAAUCUUGACCAAUUUUGUGGUGGCAAAAAUAAGGUGGCAAAAUAUAAAAAUGGUGGCUAUUUGGUAACAAUAGGGCAAUUGACACGGGUGUUUUUGUCACGGCAUUUUUGGUGGCAAAAUGGUGACAACAUGGAAAUUGCUACUGUUUUGUGACCAAAAGUUUCAUGACAAAAGCCCUCUUUUCUAGUAGCGAUCAAAACGUUAUAAAAUAAAUGGCUAGGGACUCAGGGCGUUAAACUUUUUGAUUUUGGACUAAAAUGGUUAAAACCACUAAAACACAAAGACUCAAAAAGGAAUUUAUUCAUUUAAUAAUGAAAAUAAGAAAGAAAAAGAUAAUGAAAUUAUAAGACAGGUAGUAGAUAACCUCAUGGCAUCUUCCAUUCAUAUAGUGACGGCAAUAUGUUAUUUUUUCCUCUUUAACCACUGGUUGAAGUUUCAACCUCUUGACACCAAGUUUUAACCUCUUUUCAGCUCGUUUAAUUCUAUCCUUGAUCUGUAAAACGUUAUAAUGGUGACGGGAUUAGUCAGAGUAAUUCAUAUAGUAGAUUGACUGAUAAAACUAACCAGCAAUACUACAGCAUAUGUGAAUCUAUUAAGUGAAUUUGUAUAUAACACUUGGAUAUUCUCAGACUAGUUAACCAUCAAAUAGCAAAUAUCUUUUUCCCAAAAUAAUCUACACACUAAUAUAUAAUUUUUAAUGACAAACUCACAUACCCCUAAACUAACUCUUAAAUUUAUACCAUUUGAUAGAACUUAAACAAUAUCCACUUGACAACUGUACGAUCGCAUCUACACAUUAAUUAAAAAAAGUUAAAAAAGUUACAACGUUCAUCACUUACUCUAUAUAACAAUUUGGGUAGAUUGUUAGCUAAAGUUUCCGUUUCCAGGUUAUCCUGCCGGUCAUUACUACCACCAAUACCUCUAUUCUCCUUCAUCAGAGGUAAGCAAGUGAUGUCUGCCACCGCCGACAAGAAGGUUGUUCUCUUUGGUUUUCUGAUGCUUUCUUUGAUUUUUGAGCAUCGUGUUGACGACAACUCCCAGUCGACCUAUACCAUGAAAUCUUCCACCUAAUUAUAACCCUAAUUCGAUUUCCACACUAUGCAAAACCUAUAAUCCAAUCGCCCUAACCAGCUCCCAACUUCCGCUAUCAGAUACUUCUUGAGUUCUACCAAGGGCUCCUCUGUUUUUUUUAUAUUAUUUUCCAUCAGUGCUUUUCUUUUGCUAUCCAAAAACUUGUAUUAUUUUGAGCAUAGAAUCAAAAGGAGAAAGAGGGAUUUCAUGAUGGUACUGAUCGAUGACUUAAGUGAUGAUGGAUUAUUAGGGUUCAAAGGGUCUGUGACAGUGUGCAUGGUGCGAUAAGUGUUCCUGUUGACAAAGGUGGAGGUAUUAGGGCUCAUAGGAGGUUCUCGCUAAGGAAGAUACAUGUACAUCAGCAUUGUUGGUGAUGACAACUAAGAUUGUGUUGAGUUUAAAACAUGCAAUUGGCACUCAUUGGUAAGGAAGAAUUAGAAAUAGUUGUGUAGUUUGGCUGCUGUUGUGUAGUUUAAAACUGAAUUUGCAAGAUUUAGGGAUUGAUUUCAAUAAUUCUCUGUGUACCUUUAUCCGCAGCUAAGCGCGGACAGUAUUUACUAGUUAAUAUAGUUGUUUGUUAGU
RNAcentral lists this long non-coding RNA (2848 nucleotides) under Helianthus annuus (common sunflower). Its description in RNAcentral is "hypothetical non coding rna". The record is from RNAcentral. Lineage: Eukaryota; Viridiplantae; Streptophyta; Magnoliopsida; Asterales; Asteraceae.